GGCGCCUUGUACCAGUGGUAAGGGUGUGGGCUUCUAUGCCAUAGGUCGCAGGUUCGAACCCUGCUAGCUUCC
Molecule: non-coding RNA, 72 nt
Organism: Rhododendron molle
Lineage: Eukaryota; Viridiplantae; Streptophyta; Magnoliopsida; Ericales; Ericaceae
Source: the annotation of a GenBank genome assembly